CUAUAUGUACCCUGUAGAACCGAAUUUGUGUGAAGUACAAGCAGUCGCAAAUACGUCUCUACAGGAAUACAUGGG
This is a non-coding RNA of Oreochromis niloticus (Nile tilapia), 75 nucleotides long. The record is from Rfam. Lineage: Eukaryota; Metazoa; Chordata; Actinopteri; Cichliformes; Cichlidae.